RNAcentral lists this ribosomal RNA (497 nucleotides) under uncultured bacterium. RNAcentral's name for it is "partial 16S ribosomal RNA". It matches the Rfam family "Bacterial small subunit ribosomal RNA", at positions 28 to 507 of the family's 1533-position model. The record is from RNAcentral.
GAUGAACGCUGGCGGCGUGCCUAAUACAUGCAAGUCGAGCGAACAGACGAGGAGCUUGCUCCUCUGACGUUAGCGGCGGACGGGUGAGUAACACGUGGAUAACCUACCUAUAAGACUGGGAUAACUUCGGGAAACCGGAGCUCAUACCGGAUACUAUAUUGAACCGCAUGGUUCAAUAGUGAAAGACGGUUUUGCUGUCACUUAUAGAUGGAUCCGCGCCGCAUUAGCUAGUUGGUAAGGUAACGGCUUACCAAGGCAACGAUGCGUAGCCGACCUGAGAGGGUGAUCGGCCACACUGGAACUGAGACACGGUCCAGACUCCUACGGGAGGCAGCAGUAGGGAAUCUUCCGCAAUGGGCGAAAGCUUGACGGAGCAACGCCGCGUGAGUGAUGAAGGUCUUCGGAUCGUAAAACUCUGUUAUUAGGGAAGAACAAAUGUGUAAGUAACUAUGCACGUCGUGACGGUACCUAAUCAGAAAGCCACGGCUAACUACGUG